GGGAUUUAACAGAUAUGAAGGUAAGGAAAGGGACAUGAUGCACCAACACCAUGGGUCUUGUUCAAAGCUUAAAAUAAAUAUCAAAAAACAGAGCUUCCAUGCAUUUCACCAAAUACCCAUCCCUAAUAAAGCAAACAGCUUUGUUUCCAUGGAAAAUCCACCAAUGCAAUUCAAAUACACAAACUGAAAGAAAACCCAUACAUAUUGGAGGAAGAAAAUGUAACUAGAGAGAAGAGGAGAGGCAAAUAUUGGCAGUCGGCUG
RNAcentral lists this unclassified non-coding RNA (262 nucleotides) under Hevea brasiliensis (rubber tree). Lineage: Eukaryota; Viridiplantae; Streptophyta; Magnoliopsida; Malpighiales; Euphorbiaceae. The record is from RNAcentral.